CAGUAGCCGCGGGAAUACGAAGGGGGCUAGCGUUGCUCGGAAUGACUGGGCGUAAAGGGCGCGUAGGCGGUUUUGACAGUCAGAUGUGAAAUUCCUGGGCUUAACCUGGGGGCUGCAUUUGAGACGUCAAGACUAGAGUGUGAGAGAGGGUUGUGGAAUUCCCAGUGUAGAGGUGAAAUUCGUAGAUAUCGGGAAGAACACCGGUGGCGAAGGCGGCAACCUGGCUCAUUACUGACGCUGAGGCGCGAAAGCGUGGGGAGCAAACAGGAUUAGAUACCCGCGUAGUCCCUGUCUCUUAUAC
RNAcentral lists this ribosomal RNA (301 nucleotides) under uncultured bacterium. RNAcentral's name for it is "partial 16S ribosomal RNA". It matches the Rfam family "Bacterial small subunit ribosomal RNA", at positions 509 to 807 of the family's 1533-position model. The record is from RNAcentral.